UGCCUGCGAUGAACUGGUUUAAGUUCUGGCACCUCAGAUGAAAACUGCAUGUGAAGCCUGACUUAUUCAUGAAUGCAGCUC
Cricetulus griseus (Chinese hamster) is the source of this 81-nucleotide small nucleolar RNA. NCBI's taxonomy places the organism in Eukaryota, Metazoa, Chordata, Mammalia, Rodentia, Cricetidae. The record is from Ensembl.